AAUAGGCGACUAUGGAUCUUAAGACAACUAGAAGCUUUAGGAAUGUGUGAGAAAACCAAAGUGAAAGUGACAAAAUAUCUUGGUCGAGGUAAAAAUGUAAUUGAAAGAGAAGUAAAGAUUCGCGGAAACCCCGGAGGGGUGAUAUAUACGUAUUAAUCCCAGAUUGAUCGUGAAAGUUUAGAGGACCUGCAAGAAGCUCUGUCAGGGAUGAAUUUAGACGAAAACCAAACGUAAAACAUGGGUGCUCUGUCAUGAGAUUAGGAAGACAAGAAGACAAUGUGAACAUAGAAAGACA
This is a long non-coding RNA of Saccostrea cuccullata (small rock oyster), 295 nucleotides long. RefSeq lists it as uncharacterized. The record is from RefSeq and is a predicted model, not a curated record. Lineage: Eukaryota; Metazoa; Mollusca; Bivalvia; Ostreida; Ostreidae. The transcript is spliced from 3 exons.